This 253-nucleotide ribosomal RNA is filed under the name uncultured bacterium. RNAcentral describes it as "partial 16S ribosomal RNA". It matches the Rfam family "Bacterial small subunit ribosomal RNA", at positions 524 to 776 of the family's 1533-position model. The record is from RNAcentral.
UACGUAGGGGGCGAGCGUUGUCCGGAAUCAUUGGGCGUAAAGCGCGUGUAGGCGGCCCGGUAAGUCCGCUGUGAAAGUCCAGGGCUCAACCCUGGGAUGCCGGUGGAUACUGUCGGGCUCGAGUCCGGAAGAGGCGAGUGGAAUUCCUGGUGUAGCGGUGAAAUGCGCAGAUAUCAGGAAGAACAUCUAUGGCGAAGGCAGCUCUCUGGGACGGUACUGACGCUGAGACGCGAAAGCGUGGGGAGCGAACAGG